This 253-nucleotide ribosomal RNA is filed under the name uncultured bacterium. RNAcentral's name for it is "partial 16S ribosomal RNA". It matches the Rfam family "Bacterial small subunit ribosomal RNA", at positions 524 to 776 of the family's 1533-position model. The record is from RNAcentral.
GACAGAGGGGGCAAGCGUUGCUCGGAAUUAUUGGGCGUAAAGGGUGCGUAGGCGGCGCGGUAAGUCGGGUGUGAAAUCUCGGGGCUUAACUCCGAAACUGCAUUCGAUACUGCCGUGCUUGAGGACUGGAGAGGAGACUGGAAUUUACGGUGUAGCGGUGAAAUGCGUAGAUAUCUGGAGGAAUACCGGUGGCGAAGGCGGCAUCCUGGACCGGCAUUGACGCUGAUGAGCGAAAGCUAGGGGAGCAAACGGG